CCUACGGGCGGCAGCAGUGGGGAAUAUUGGACAAUGGGCGCAAGCCUGACGCAGCAACGCCGCGUGAAGGAAGAAGGUUUUCGGGUUGUAAACUUCUUUUGUAAGGGACGAAGCAAGUGACGGUACCUGAAGAAUAAGCCACGGCUAACUACGUGCCAGGAGCCGCGGUAAUACGUAGGUGGCAAGCGUUAUCCGGAUUUAUUGGGUGGAAAGGGCGUGUAGGCGGGAAUGCAAGUCAGAUGUGAAAACUCUGGGCUCAACCCAUAGACUGCAUUUGAUACUGUAUAUCUUGAGUGCUAGAGAGGCAAUCGGAAUUCCAUGUGUAGCGGUGAAAUGCGUAGAUAUACGGAGGAACACCAGUGGCGAAGGCAGAUUGCUGGGCAGUAACUGACGCUGAGGCACGAAAGCGUGGGGAGCAAACAGGAUUAGAUACCCGAGUAGUC
RNAcentral lists this ribosomal RNA (443 nucleotides) under uncultured bacterium. RNAcentral's name for it is "partial 16S ribosomal RNA". It matches the Rfam family "Bacterial small subunit ribosomal RNA", at positions 338 to 795 of the family's 1533-position model. The record is from RNAcentral.